GGGCCCGCACAAGCGGUGGAGCAUGUGCUUUAAUUCGAUGCAACGCGAAGAACCUUACCUGGAUUUGACAUGGGGGUGAAAGGUCGCAGAGAUGUGAUCCCUUCCGCAAGGAACACCCCACACAGGUGCUGCAUGGUUGUCGUCAGCUCGUGUCGUGAGAUGUUAGGUUAAGUCCUGCAACGAGCGCAACCCUCGCCCUUAGUUGCUAACAGGUCAUGCUGAGAACUCUAAGGGGACCGCCUGGUUUAACCAGGAGGAAGGUGGGGAUGACGUCAAAUCCUCAUGGCCCUUACGUCCAGGGCUAGACACGUGCUACAAUGGUAGAAACAGCGGGAUGCAAGCUGGUGACAGCAAGCUAAUCCCUUAAAAUCUAUCUCAGUCCGGAUUGAAGUCUGCAAUUCGACUUCAUGAAGCUGGAAUCGCUAGUAAUCGCGGAUCAGCAUGCCGCGGUGAAUACGUUCCCGGGCCUU
This 470-nucleotide ribosomal RNA is filed under the name uncultured bacterium. RNAcentral's name for it is "bacterial SSU rRNA". It matches the Rfam family "Bacterial small subunit ribosomal RNA", at positions 917 to 1382 of the family's 1533-position model. The record is from RNAcentral.